AAUAAGUUUGAUUCUUGCUUAUUUAUUAAUUUAUUAAAUGAUUUAUAUGUUAUUUUAUUAAUAAUUUAAUUUUACAGUAAAUGUAAUUGUUAAUUAUUAAUUAUUGUUAAUUACCAGUAAUUUAAUUAUAAUGGAUAAAUUUUGUGCCAGCAUUCGCGGUUAUACAAUUCAUUAAAAUUAAUAUUUUAUUUUUUGUAAUUAUUUUUAUUUUGAUUAUAUAGCUAAUUUUAUUUAGGUGGAAUUUGUAAGAUUUAUAUUAAUCUUUAUUAAAUCUUAUUAAAUCAUAAUUAUAAACUAGGAUUAGAUACCCUAUUAUUAUUGAACUUAAAUUAUUUGAUGAAUAUUAAUAGCUAUGUCCUAUUAAACUCAAAGAAUUUGGCGGUGGAUUAUAUCUGUUUAGAGGAAUCUGUGCUUUAAUUGAUAAACCACGAUAUUUUUAACCUUUAUAUCAUUUGUAUACCUCUAUAAUUAAGAGUGUUAUUAAAAUACAUUUUCUUUCAUUUUAUUAAUUUAUAUUAGGUCAAGGUGCAGUUUUAUAUAGGUAAGUGUGGAUUACUUUAAUAAUAAAUUUACUUAAGUGAUUCAAUCUAUUUGAGAUUGUAAUUUAAAUAGGAUUUAAUAGUAAUUUUAUUUAAUUAUUUAUUUUGAAUUUAGUUUUGAUUUAUGUACAUAUCGCCCGUCACUCUCUUUAAAAUGGGAUAAGUCGUAACAAAGUAGGUGUACCGGAAGGUGUAGCUAGAAAGU
RNAcentral lists this non-coding RNA (744 nucleotides) under Metidiocerus sp. Lineage: Eukaryota; Metazoa; Arthropoda; Insecta; Hemiptera; Cicadellidae. The record is from RNAcentral.